Molecule: transfer RNA, 53 nt
Filed under: Klebsiella sp. AS10
Lineage: Bacteria; Pseudomonadati; Pseudomonadota; Gammaproteobacteria; Enterobacterales; Enterobacteriaceae
Description: tRNA-Thr
Rfam family: tRNA
About the family: Transfer RNA (tRNA) molecules are approximately 80 nucleotides in length. Their secondary structure includes four short double-helical elements and three loops (D, anti-codon, and T loops).
Source: RNAcentral
GCUGAUAUGGCUCAGUUGGUAGAGCGCACCCUUGGUAAGGGUGAGGUCCCCAG